RNAcentral lists this long non-coding RNA (317 nucleotides) under Nicotiana benthamiana. RNAcentral's name for it is "long non-coding RNA (NBEN_LNC009744)". The record is from RNAcentral. Lineage: Eukaryota; Viridiplantae; Streptophyta; Magnoliopsida; Solanales; Solanaceae.
GAGAGUUGAAAGAGACUCUCCCGGAAUAACCUUGCAGUCCUUGCACAUACCCCUAUCGCUCCUUCUGAUGAGGAUGUAAUCAAUCUGAGUCCUCGCCGCGGAACUCUUGAAGGUGACCAAAUGCUCCUCCCUCUUCCGGAAUGUCGAUUUCGCAAUCAGAAGCUCGGAAGCUCUGGCGAAAUCAAGCAGCAAAGUGCCUCCUCCGUUCCUGGCCCCAAAGCCGAAGCCACUAUGCACCUCAUCAUAGCCAUCAGCCUCAACCCCAAUAUGGCCAUUAAAGUCCCCUCCAAUAACUAACUUCUCAGAUUGGGGAANNN